GACGAACGCUGGCGGCGUGCUUAACACAUGCAAGUCGAACGGAAAGGCCCUGCUUGCAGGGUGCUCGAGUGGCGAACGGGUGAGUAACACGUGGGUGAUCUGCCCCUUACUUUGGGAUAAGCCUGGGAAACUGGGUCUAAUACUGGAUAGGACCAUGCUGUAGGUGGUGUGGUGGAAAGAUUAGUUUCGGUAAGGGAUGAGCUCGCGGCCUAUCAGCUUGUUGGUGGGGUAAUGGCCUACCAAGGCGUCGACGGGUAGCCGGCCUGAGAGGGUGGACGGCCACAUUGGGACUGAGAUACGGCCCAGACUCCUACGGGAGGCAGCAGUGGGGAAUAUUGCACAAUGGGCGCAAGCCUGAUGCAGCGACGCCGCGUGGCGGAUGACGGCCUUCGGGUUGUAAACUCCUUUCAGCCAUGACGAAGCCCUUGUGGUGACGGUAGUGGUAGAAGAAGCACCGGCUAACUACGUG
RNAcentral lists this ribosomal RNA (469 nucleotides) under uncultured bacterium. RNAcentral's name for it is "partial 16S ribosomal RNA". It matches the Rfam family "Bacterial small subunit ribosomal RNA", at positions 28 to 507 of the family's 1533-position model. The record is from RNAcentral.